RNAcentral lists this ribosomal RNA (497 nucleotides) under uncultured bacterium. Its description in RNAcentral is "partial 16S ribosomal RNA". It matches the Rfam family "Bacterial small subunit ribosomal RNA", at positions 28 to 507 of the family's 1533-position model. The record is from RNAcentral.
GAUGAACGCUGGCGGCGUGCCUAAUACAUGCAAGUCGAGCGAACGGACGAGAAGCUUGCUUCUCUGAUGUUAGCGGCGGACGGGUGAGUAACACGUGGAUAACCUACCUAUAAGACUGGGAUAACUUCGGGAAACCGGAGCUAAUACCGGAUAAUAUUUUGAACCGCAUGGUUCAAAAGUGAAAGACGGUCUUGCUGGCACUUAUAGAUGGAUCCGCGCUGCAUUAGCUAGUUGGUAAGGUAACGGCUUACCAAGGCAACGAUGCAUAGCCGACCUGAGAGGGUGAUCGGCCACACUGGAGCUGAGACACCGUCCAGACUCCUAAGGGAGGCAGCAGUAGGGAAUCUUCCGCAAUGGGCGAAAGCCUGACGGAGCAACGCCGCGUGAGUGAUGAAGGUCUUCGGAUCGUAAAACUCUGUUAUUAGGGAAGAACAUAUGUGUAAGUAACUGUGCACAUCUUGACGGUAACUAAUCAGAAAGCAACGGCUAACUACGUG